GCAGCUGGCUAAGCGCUAGCCCGGCCUGUGGCGAGUCUGCAGAGCUCGCCCGGAAGUAGCGUUGCGCGCGCAGAGGAUGGGCGCUGAGCAGCACACAGCCCGCGGCGGGGUCUCAGGAUCCGCGGCGCUGCCCGGGGCCGGGGGAAGGAAGCCAGCCGAGGAGACGCACGUGCCCUGAGUCCGGGAGCGGGGAGCCUCUUCAUCUCUCCAUCCUCCCUCCGCGCGCGCCCUCAGCCGUCCUCGUCCGCUCACCAUGCACCUCCCCUCCAAGAAAGGGCCACAUGCGUGCCAGGGACGCGAGCCCCGGCCACAGGGACAUAGCAGCCUAGAAGGUAUACCAGGAACACUUAAUCAACAUCCUGCAUGGUUCCAGCAAAGACAUUAAGACAGUUGGGACUGUUGGUGAGGACAGAUGAUCUUCACAAACCCUCUGACUCUUAAGAACCUGGGAGACCUGCUGGAGUUUACCCCACAUUCCCUUAAUUAAAAAGCCAUUAAAAUAGUCAACUUUGCUGGGCACGGUGGCUCGCGUCUGUAAUUCCAGCAAUUUGGGAGGUCAAGGCAGGAGGAUUGCUUGAGCCCAAGAGUUAAGACCAGCCUGGGCAACAUGGUGAGAGCCCAUCUCUACAAAAAAUUCAAAAAAUUAGCAAGGCAUGGGACCACACCUGUGGUCCCAGCUACUUGGGAGGCUGAGGUUGCAGUAAGCCGAGACUGAGCCACUGCACUCCAACCUGGGCAACAGAGUGAGACCCUGUCUCAAUAAUAAUAAUAAUCCCUUUAGCAGGCUUGUGCCUGAGUUAUUUAAUGUAAGGGUAAAAAGUCUUCUUUAUAAUAAAUUCCCUAUACCUUUUAGGUUUACUUUUUUUUUUUUUUUGAGACAGAGUUUUGCUCUUGUCGCCCAGGCUGGAGUACAGUGGCAUGAUUUCGGCUCACUGCAACCUCUGCCUCCCAGGUUCAAGCCAUUCUCCUGCCUCAGCCUCCUAAGUAGCUGGGAUUAUUGGCAUGUGUCACCAUGCCUGGCAAAUUUUUUCUUUUGAGACAGUCCUGCUCUGUCGCCCAGGCUGGAGUGCAGUGGUGUGAUCUUGGCUCACCACAAGCUCCGCCUCCUGGGUUCAUGCCAUUCUCCUGCCCCAGCCUCCCGAGUAGCUGGUACUACAGGCGCCUGCCACCGUGCCCAGCUAAUUUUUUUUUUUUUUUUGUAUUUUUAGUAGAGAUGGAGUUUCACCGUGUUAGCCAGGAUGGUCUUGAUCUCCUGACCUCGUGAUCCUCCCGCCUUGGCCUCCCAAAGUGCUGGGAUUACAGGCGUGAGCCACCGAGCCCGGCCGAUUUUUUUGUAUUUUUACUAGAGACAGGGUUUCACCACGUUGGCCAGGCUGGUCUCACCACGUUGGCCAGGCUGGUCUCGAACUCCUGACCUCAGCUGAUCCACCCACCUCAGCCUCCCAAAGUGCUGGGAUUACAGGCGUGAGCCACCGCGCCCGGCCUAGGUUUACUUUUCAUCCAUCCAAACUCUCAUUCUUAAUAUUCCUGUUAACAUUUAACAAGGGAGAUGUGAUUUAUCAGAAGGAAAACUGAAAUUGAAGCCACAAGUAAAACAAGAAAGCACUCGUGGACUCCAGGUGACAGAGCUUGAGCUGAAGGCCAAGUCACAGUUCUGCUUUCUAAGAAUUAUAUGCAUGACUCUUGGAAGAAAAAUGCUAAUUUGUAAAAAGUUCCUAGUUAAAAGAUAUACUGGGUUUUCCCCCUUGAGUAUAUUAUCAAAUUCUGGCAAACAAUAAAUAAAUAAUACAGCUUUUUACUAAAAAUGCCACAAAGUAAGCUAUUCUCACCCAAAGCGUCCAGCUUAACUAAGGUUUUAUUUAAAUGUACUUUUCUUUUUAUUUUUAUACAGGUGAUAGAGAACAAAAUUUAUGAACCUACGUACGGGAGGGACUGAUGACAAAAAAAAUUGGCAAAAACCCCAUUCGCACAGUUUUCAAUUAUUAUUUUUUUUUUUUUAGAGAUGGGGUCUCACUGUGUUGCCCAGGCUAGUCUCAAACUUCAGCUCAAGUGAUUCUCCUGCCUCUCAGCCUAUCAAAGUGCUAGGAUUACUGGUAUAAGCCACCAUGCUUGGCCCCUAAUUAGCACUUAAAAAAAAAUUUUUUUUUUUUUUGAGACAGAGUCUCAGUCUGUCAUCAAGGCUAGAGUGCAGCGGCACAAUCUCGGCUCACUGCACCCUCUGCCUCCCAGGUCCAAAUGAUUCUUGUGCCUUAGCCUCCCAAGUAGCUGGGAUUACAAGCAUGUGCCACCACACCUGGCUAAUUUUUGUAUUUUUUUUUUGUAGAGACGGGGUUUCGCCAUGUUGGUCAGGCUGGUCUCAAACUCCUGGCCUCAAGGAUUAGCACAGUUUUUAAUGCCACUUCCUUUCCUCCAGUCUGCUCACUGGCCUCAGAAGUGAGCAUGAGUGACCUGUGUGUAGCACAGGGGCUGCCAAACAGCCCCGACUGACACGGGCUCAGAACUUCACCAGCUUAAUGAAUGAGGCAUUCAAUCAUCGCAACUACUCUAUGAGGAAGACACUACCAUGACGACCAUUUUACAGAUGGGGAGACCGAGGCCAGGGUAGUUAAAUGACUUGUUCAGGGUCAUGCACCUCCUAGUGGCAGAGCUGGAGUCAAACCUAGGCAGCCUGGCUCUUCAACCUGUGCACUGCCUUUCAUUAGAUGAGUACAAGGGCAGAGUUGAGAGACCUGUAAGGAAGCCAUGGUCAACUGUUAACCUCAAAUCAAAGUGGCCGUCUAAGGGAAAAUCCCAAACUGCAUGUGAAAUCAUGGCAGUGAUGCUCUCUCUCUGGCUGGUAUAGUCAAUAGCUGCCUCGCUCCACUGGGGACUUCUUGGAGGUUCACCUUCCUCCCUUCCCUGCCCUCUAAUGGGUAGACAUGUGACUGCACGGAACAGCAGCAGCAGGGAGGGCAGAAAGCAUAGGCAGAGCUCACACAAGCUGGAAACUGUGUGUUCUUAAAAAUGUACUCAGUUAUUUUCUCUGGUGUGGAGAGCAGUAAAUUAUGUGGUUUGGAAGCUACUACUACACUACUAUUUCCUGAAAGAGCUUUCUAGCACGGCCUGUCACAGACACAAAUUUACAAGUAUG
This 3130-nucleotide long non-coding RNA is filed under the name Homo sapiens (human). Its description in RNAcentral is "non-protein coding lnc-SHANK2-1:7". Lineage: Eukaryota; Metazoa; Chordata; Mammalia; Primates; Hominidae. The record is from RNAcentral.